RNAcentral lists this ribosomal RNA (496 nucleotides) under uncultured bacterium. RNAcentral describes it as "partial 16S ribosomal RNA". It matches the Rfam family "Bacterial small subunit ribosomal RNA", at positions 28 to 506 of the family's 1533-position model. The record is from RNAcentral.
GAUGAACGCUGGCGGCGUGCCUAAUACAUGCGAGUCGAGCGAACAGACGAGGAGCUUGCUCCUCUGACGUUAGCGGCGGACGGGUGAGUAACACGUGGAUAACCUACCUAUAAGACUGGGAUAACUUCGGGAAACCGGAGCUAAUACCGGAUAAUAUAUUGAACCGCAUGGUUCAAUAGUGAAAGACGGUUUUGCUGUUACUUAUAGAUGGAUCCGCGCCGCAUUAGCUAGUUGGUAAGGUAACGGCUUACCAAGGCAACGAUGCGUAGCCGACCUGAGAGGGUGAUCGGCCACACUGGAACUGAGACACGGUCCAGACUCCUACGGGAGGCAGCAGUAGGGAAUCUUCCGCAAUGGGCGAAAGCCUGACGGAGCAACGCCGCGUGAGUGAUGAAGGUCUUCGGAUCGUAAAACUCUGUUAUUAGGGAAGAACAAAUGUGUAAGUAACUAUGCACGUCUGGACGGUACCUAAUCAGAAAGCCACGGCUAACUACGU